AAUCAGCCUGCAGGUCUGUAGAGCGAGACCAGCGCCCUGAGAGAGCAGAAGCCCAUCAGCCUGGAGGUUCCCGCACCUUCACUGUGCCACCUGUCAGACCACAUAAGGGAGUGCGGUGGCGCAGCGGGUUUGGCCUGUGCCUGCUCUCUGGUGGGUCUGGGAUUCGAGUCCCGCUUGGGGUGCCUUGAGACGGACUGGCAUCCCAUCCUGAGUGUGUCCCUCCCCCUCCAGCCUUACGCCUUGUGUUAUCAGGUUCCUGUGACUCAGUGGAAACCACACGAGGCGGCUGAGAAACGACACCCGUUGGAUGGAACGUUUAACCCGCAGGUGUCAUUUUUCAAUUUGCUUCAUCUUGACCCACCACAGGAAGUACGAGACCCCCUGCUUGCAAGGAGAGACAAAGUCCGCUGAUGCACAGCGAUGUACUGUCGUUGGGCUCUGGUUCUCUGGAUGCUGAUGUUGUGGUGUCAAGACCAUCUGUCCGAGAGCUACACUGUAACCUACAGGCCUAGGAAUGAAUCAGAGCUAUCUACUGUCCUUGCCCACACUUCAGCUUCAGAAGAAAUCAGCAUCAGCAGAAAUCCGGUUUCAGGCAAUUUGUCAGAGAUUCCCAACAGUGCAAGUGCAGCAUCAAAAGAUGCUCCUGUCAGAGUAGACCCAAACUUGGAGCAAACUGGCACCAGUGAUGACUCAGCAUCCCCCAGUACCCUGCCUUAUGGGGGAGUCCAGAGCACUUCCAUGGAACUGGUGACACUCACUGUAACUGCUAGCACGCAGCUGGGGUCUCAGUUUACCACUCCUCCAACAUCUCAAGAAGAAACAAAGCACAUCACCGUGACAAUGGACCAGAACACCACACAGGCCGAGACAUUCAGCUCUUUGCCCGAGGUCAAGCAAAGUGUAACAUCGCCAGUCAUCCCAAGUGCAGCGCCGCAAGAUGACCUCACCACUUAUCGACAGACCACACACGUGUACAAGAGAUAUUCCACAUCUCCCAGCAUCACCAUGGAGGACAAUCACUUGGGUCACUCCACACAAAUCAUAGAGAAGACAACCUGGGUCCCCUCAGCCAAAACAGAGAGAAAAGGCUCAGCCCAGGUGACCUCCACCUUGCCUAGCCAGACCAAUAGAGUCCCACUCUUGAUCAGCUUCAUGACUGAGAAACAUACAAGAGGCUUGACUGUCUCUAAAUUGGAAAACACAACACCAGCCCUGCUCCUCAACACCCAGGUGACCACUCAGCCUUCUUCUCCCUCUUGGCCCUGGACACUGGGCUACCGUUCUCCAACCAGCCCACAGAGCCAAGGAUCCACGAGCCUCCCUGCUCCUAGUCCUAAACGUACACUUAGCAGUAGUGCUGCCUCUUCCCCAGGUUCAACCAGAAAAGUCUCUCUGACCUGGACAACUCCAUUCCCCACCACAGAAACAUGGAACACCUACCAUCCAACUAACAUCAGCCAAACUAUCCAAACCACUAUUAUCACCAUUUCGGACAAGACGCUCCCAACAUCAAGAGCAGCCACACUGAGGAAGAUCUCCCCAGGGGUGCUGAGAUCAACGGUCAAAAUAACACCGCAACAAAGAGACAUAACAAACAUUGAGGAAAACAUCCACGGGAAGAGAUGGAACAAAGUGGUGGUCCCGAUCUCCUGCACAGCCGUGUUCCUGGCAAUACUUGUUCUCAUUGGGUGGUUCUUUUCAAGAAAACGACACUUCAGGCAGAGGAGGCUGCGCAACUCCACAUGGGCCGGAUUUUCUCCGUUCCUGAACAGCACCAGGAAGUCUGCUGGGUCCCCACGCAAACACUUCCAGUGGCAGCAGUCCCGACAGGUAACCCUGGCCUCCAUCCUCUUGAGGCCCGUCCCCUGGGACACGAGGAGUGAGAACAUCCUGGUGGUCGAGGCUCCUAUGGUGGGAACCACAUUUGGAAAGCAUCAGGAUCUGAAUGACGCCAGUGGCACUCAGGAUCUCCAUGUGACAAAGGGUCUAUCAGGGGACAGCCCUGCACCAGAAACACCCACCACAACAUCCACAACACCAUCCAUGGCCACACCCCCAACACCACCUAGGUCACCACAUACACUACCAACAACAAUGCCCCCCAUGGCACCACCCAUAGAACAGGCUGUGGCCACACCCAUGCCUAUGGCACCACCCAUGGCACGAUCUACAGACCACCUAGUGUGACUGACUGCCAAUGUUCUCCCCAGACCCUUCCUCCAUGACCCAAAGCAGACAGCCACAGGGACAGGAAAGGCAGGCACUGAGCCACAAAGGCUCUCUGCUCCGACCCAAACGUAACCUGUGGGUGUUGGCAGACAUGCUUCCCCAACACCAGGUGACCAUCACCUAGGUGACCUUCAACAUGCGCAGCGCCAUCCAAAUCACCCCCAACUCAGGAAAACCAAUGAUAUCAAAUCAUUUGAAUACAGUACAAAGUUACCAGCGCUAACAAAUAAUGUGCUGCUUACAAUACCACACCUCUUCCUGCUACAGUGCUUCCUCAGCUUAUAAACGCAUUCGAGAUUGGAAGCCUAUUCUUAACUCACUUGUUUGUAAAUACAAAGUCACCUUUACCACUUAUCAAUAAAUAAAAGCUUAGUAAUACA
Molecule: long non-coding RNA, 2609 nt
Organism: Scleropages formosus (Asian bonytongue)
Lineage: Eukaryota; Metazoa; Chordata; Actinopteri; Osteoglossiformes; Osteoglossidae
Source: Ensembl